GACGAACGCUGGCGGCGUGCUUAACACAUGCAAGUCGAACGGAAAGGCCCUGCUUGCAGGGUACUCGAGAGGGCAACGGGUGGGUAAGCGGAGGGUGGACUGACCUGUACUUAGGGAUACGCAUGGGAAACUGGAACUGAUAGCGACUAGGGGCCAUACCGCGUGAGACGGCAGGAACGCAUUUUCGGUGUUGGAAGAGUCCGCGGCCGAGCGGUGUGUUGGUGGGGUAUUGGCCUACCAAGGCGGCAACGGGGAGCCGGCCUGAGGGGGUGGACGGCAACAGUGAGACUGGGAUACGGCCCAGACGCCUACGGGAGGCAGCAGUGGGGGAGGUUGCACAAGGGGCGCGAGCCUGAUGCAGCGACGCCGCGUGGGGGAUGACGGCCUUGUGGUUGGAAACGCCUUGCGCUAGGGACGGAGCUUUUUGUGACGGUACCUAGAUAAGAAGCACCGGCUAACUACGUG
RNAcentral lists this ribosomal RNA (465 nucleotides) under uncultured bacterium. RNAcentral describes it as "partial 16S ribosomal RNA". It matches the Rfam family "Bacterial small subunit ribosomal RNA", at positions 28 to 507 of the family's 1533-position model. The record is from RNAcentral.